Molecule: long non-coding RNA, 1629 nt
Organism: Papio anubis (olive baboon)
Lineage: Eukaryota; Metazoa; Chordata; Mammalia; Primates; Cercopithecidae
Source: Ensembl
GGAUUAAAUGGAUUUAACUGUAAUUUUAGACAAAAUAAGGUUAGUUUCAGGAGACUUUGCAUGAGGAGUUUUAAGAAGUUAAACAAAGCACACCAAUGCAAUGGAAUUCCAUGGUGGUUGCCUGGUGGCAAAAGGAAUAAGCAGCUUCCUAGCUCAGCACAGUAAUCAGUGGCCAUUAGGCUAAAAGAAAUAAAAAGAUACAGAGUUCACCUAGAGUUUUUAUCAGCAUUUAGUGUUUCUUGACUGAAAUUACCUUAUAUUAGUAAAAAAAAAAAAAAAAAAGAAAGAAAGAAAGAGAAGAAAAUAAAAGAAAUCCAAAUUUGCGUUAGGUCUUCUAGUGGCAAAUCAAAGCAAGUGUUGAACAAUACAGGUCAGGAAGAAAUAAAACAAAAAAUCUGCAAAACAAAAACAGCAUCACUUUACCCAAAUAAUUCAGAUUAACAUACACCAGCAUCGCUGGGCGAUUACUCUGUUCCAGGCAGCCGCAGGUGGAUCUUCAUACAAGGCCAGAUUUCUACCACAGUUCAGUCUCAGAGUUUAACACUUCUCUAACAGCCACAUAGAACAGACAUUCUUCAGCUAGGAGUUUGAAGGCUCCCCAGUCGAGCCUCACAAUUGCCCACCCAAUCCUUUCUACCUCUGGGAUGCCCAUGCACCAGCAGGUAGAAGAGAAAAAGGGAAAACAUAAAGACCAAGCUGGGAGACCAAACACUGUCAAGGUGGCAUUUUGCCAACAUGCCACAAAAGCAAGCACAGACGCUAAAGCACGAGCAGUUGGCUGGAGUGGAGACACCACCAGGAAACGGAAGGAAAAUGAUUUGGUUAAUAGUGAAUGGUCUGUUGCUACCGAUCUUGGCAAUGCUCACGUGGUUUGGAAGGUUCUCCCCUGGACCCACUGGCAGUAGGAGAUAAACAAGCCAUGUCCCAGUAGGGCGACGUGCAGGCUCAGUUCCAGCUUGGCACCUUUCCUCUGCUAUCUUCACAAGCACUCCCUGGAAAUACUACCUCCAAUCUCAUGAUGAACUGCACUGUGGAAAAACACCUAUUUGAGUAAAACCAAAAGCUUCCUAGUCAUCAUUCAUAGACAGUCCAGUGCAAUGGACUGCACAUUUUGUGGGGCAACCAUGGAGUUACAAUGAUUCCCAAAUGCUAGUGGACUGAUCAGUAAUAUCAGAGGCAAAUACUUGGCAGGUGAAGUUGCUGGAACUCUUGGAGUUUUGGCCAACACAAUGUGGAUGUUUUUGAAUUGUUGUACUUUUUGUCAGCUCAUAGCUUCAGUGGUUUACCACUAUCCCUAUCAUUCUGUCUUAUCUCAAACCCUCCCAACCCUUCUGUUUCUCACCUGGUUUGAACUGGCUAGGCCUCACAAUUGUAGAUUCUCAUGAAAGCCGGAAGUCUUCCUCAGUUGCUGUAUUACACAUUCAUUUUGAAUACUUAUCUGUUUAUGUAACUGUCUCUUCUCCAAUAUCAAGAAAUAACCAUAAAGGCAGUAACCACAUUUCUCUAGUUGUCUGUUGCCUUCCCAGGAACUAGCAGAGACUGCAUGCAUACUUGUUGAAAUAAUUGUUAGUUAGCUGGUAGGCACUGCAAUGUCCCUGAAAGAAUGCAGGAGGGAUCUGUUACUUCACC